UAAGAAAAAAAGAUAUCAGGAAACACGUAUCAUACACUGUAAACUGAAUGCCAGCUGUGUAACAGAAUCAUCAAAACUAUAUAUACAGAAAGCGUAGUUUAAGAAAUCCCUUGUAAAAAAGAAAAUCAUUGGAAGUCAAAAACCCAUAUGAAAUGUGAUUCCCCAUAUUAGAGAUUUAGGGGGGUUAUGAUGAAGAAACACCGCUGUAGCAAAAGGACCACAUCCAAACCGGCUCCCUGAACAAAUUCCCAUUUAAGUUCUCGUUUAAGAAAGGCAAGGAGUAAGCAAGCAGCUUCCGUUGCUGCCCCACUGAAACAUGCAUUUCCCAGAUUCCUUCAUCCUGUGGCUGAGCAGGUGGUGUCCCUGGCACACAGCUGCCUUCACGAGAGGAAAGAUGUUGCCCAUUUUUAAUACAUUACUGCUGCGAGCAAGUUUAGAGGAGCAACUGACUGUGUCAGAAGGCUGAAAUGGGACCAAUCACAUCUUCUGAGCUGCUGAAUGACACCAUGAGUCCUGCCUCUGAAACUUUUUGUUAUUUUCUCCCCUCAACCUACUUCAAUUGUUCCCACAACUUGGUCACAGACUCGGAUAAGUUGCCAGAGAUCUACAGACACUUCCCACAGCCUGGAGCAGGUUCCUCUGUGCUUCACUAACAGUCACACCAUAGGUGGGUGACAGCACCAUGGAGGAUUAAACAAGCAAGCAGCAGAAACUAAAAACAGGUGAACAGCUGAGGACACAAGGAAGUUCAUGUGAAUCUACACUGCUUGCUACUGAAGGAGCACCCCAGAGCUACAAUAAACAGUGUGCUGUGAGCACAAGAGGGCAGACUCAUGCACGCUAUGGAUCUUGCUAACAACAGAGGUCUCAACCUGCUACUCAAUUUUCUGCUUAUUGUCUUGGUUCUGGUGCUUGCAUUUAUCCUUGUGAAGCUGAUGUGAACCUCUGUGAGGCUCUGCUUCCUUCUCAAAUCUUGUUUUGAGGGUUUUGUAAUUAUCAUGUAGACACUUCAAACAAUAUGAAUACACAAAGGCUGCAGAGACUAAAAUAUCUGCAAAGUGUUCAUAUACCUUUAUUAUCAGAAAGCAAUACUUAAAAGCUGUGCACAAUUAUCAAUUUGCCACUGAGUAAAGAAAGUAUUUAGAGCCUUGCUGAGUACCUGAAGAAAUCCAGGUAUGCGUCAGAAGUUACUGUAGUUUUCUCACUGUUACAGCUGACUUGUGUUUAAAAAUCUACAAAAGAUUUGCAACAUUCACGGAACGUAAUUUCUACAAAAGGGAACAGCAGAAAUCAAAAUUUUAAAAUGGGAUUUCUCUAGAACAUGUACUUCAUGGGAAAUGACAUGGACACAGCAAGAAAGCAGAACAAAACUCGGUUGACAGCACGCAUCAAAUUACCUGUGGAGAGCAAAAGCACAGAUGCUGUAGAGAUGGAAACAAGGAUAGCCAUGAAAAGCAGCCUGCAGCAGCUGAAAUGGGGAUAGGUUGAUAUAUGAAAACAUAACCAUUAGUUAUACCUUUUUUGACCAUCUACAGUUUACAGCAACAUCUUAAAAGCCAGAAGCCAUUAGUGUUAUCCAGCAGUAUCAAAAGAAGCAGCUGUCAAAACUGAAAACCCAACCACCAUUAGCCAGGGUUACUGCAAUUUUACCUAGGAAGCCCUGAACACUGACACAUACACCAGCAGCAGGUGCAUCUGCACAACCGCAAGAAGCGUGCUACAGCCUCAGUAAGCUGGAUUUACCACUUACGCACAGGUCAAGUGUGCAGCACGGGAGCCCUCAAGCUGUAUUUGCCGUACCACUUGCUACUCGCCACUGCAAUCAUGCAGUCCAUAGUCUGUCCUCACUUUAAGCAUGCAACCCGAGCUUCUUACAGGACCUUCUUCGACGGCCUUUUACAGGAUGAUAUACUUUCCCCACAGGUCCCUGGGAAGAACAGUAACCAAGAAGAGCUCGCUUCUGCUAGAAGUUUUUGCCCAGAAGGUAGCUCUACGUACCUGAGAGAUGCUGGGAAAGAAGGCGGCCAGAAGUAGAUUUCAUACAUUACACUGGGGCCAAACAGCCUACUCCUAGCAUCUCUCUUUCCCCAAGUACAACGUGGGAACAAAGUGCACCAACAUAUAUGCAUUGUACAGUAAACUUAAUGCUAUACAUACACCUACUAAUAGUCUUUAGCACACAUGCAAAAGAGGCAGAUGUUGCUUAUGGGGUGGGGGAAGUGCCAGCUUCCAGCUUUGUCUUGCCAACAGUACAUCCCUCCUUCAGCACAUAUACUGUGAUCCAGCACUUCCUACAUGUGCUGAGUAUAUUACAGAGUGACCUACUCAUGUUCACACUCAGGAUUUCCAGAUGAUUACUGUUGUCUGGAAGAUACUGAUCUAAACUGGAUCUACAAAAAGACUUUCCACAGGAAAAGGCAGUACGUCUAGGAAAACAAAGUUUAUGCGAGUCCUGCCAUUAACAGGCAUCAGCCUUCCACUCUGUGCUACCUGCCCCAAAGCCCAGGCAGAGUUAGUGUGCUGGUUUUGGCUGGGAAAGAGGCAAUUUUCUUCAGCUACUAUGAAGAAAAUUAACUCCAUCCCAGCCAAAGCCAGCACAAUUAGCUAGGGCAGCACAGAUAGUUAAAAUGAAAGUUUUUCUCUCAUCUGCUUUAAAGUAUGUGCAAUAAACAUCUAAAAUAGCUUCUGCAAACUACAUAUCUCUAACUUUAUGUUGAUAUAGUCCUAUCAAUUCCUGUCUGCAUUUAAAGCAGAAAACGUUGCACAGCCACAUUACUGUAUCUUAAAAAAAUAAUCUGUAGAUGUAUAUACAAGGGACAUACGCUGUAACAGCUAUGUAGUUGUAUAUUAAUUAGGAGGAUUUCUGCUGAGUGUUCACAAAGAUGGCCCGAAGCAUAUCAAAACCACAGAAACUAACUAAUAUGAAGGCCACUCUAGUCUAAAGAAGAGUAAAAAUGUCUUUCCCAACCAAAUGACUAUUCACCAAUACACCGCUCGGGACUGUACAAAGCUUAUGGUCUGUAUGCUCUUCUGUAUAUUCUAAACUUUCCCUAUCUUAGGGAAACCACUGUGACAGUUUAAUAGCUAGAAUUAGAUAAAUGAGUUAGCCCCGACCAAAAAUAAAAAUUACAAAUUCCUUUUGAAUAAAAUGAGAACAAUUAUUCUACUGCCACCAAUCACAUAUCUCCAGACUCAAAAUCAUGUAAAAAAGAAGCCUCUAAGAAACUCUGCCAUUGGCAUGUAGAAACAAACUCGAGAAACAACCCCAGCAGCCUCCUCUCAGCCAGCAAUGAAAAUUACAGAAUCUUCAACAAAUGUUGAAAUACGCUGCUGAAAUGGAAACAUGCAUUUUCCUGAGAUGACAUAUAAAAUUGGCAAGUUUACCAGUUAACCAAAGCCAAGACUCUUUUUGCAGUCAAGCAUGGUCCAAGUUUGGUUUCCCAUCAUCUGCUAGCACUUACUCCAGACUGAGCCCACAUAUGCACUAGUAACAAACACAAUACCAGUUGUUGGACUACUAACUUCACAGCAAAAGGAACAGAACAUAAAAGCUUAAGUGUGACUCACAGUGAAAGAGCUCACUCUACUAACUAAAGGUAGUAAUUCUUCAUGUUAAAAAAUUGUAUCUUGUGAAAAGUAUGGUUUCAUCAAAGCAUGACACAGGAAAAAUGUUAGUAUCAAUAAUUUUGGGUCCUGGAAGACCAGAUAACUAAAAGAAAAACUAGCUUUGCAUUGAUGUUCAAGAAUAAAGUUUUCUGUGAUGACAAUACUGUUUGAAGAAUGUUAUAAAUUUUUCUUUCGAUUGAAGUUUUACAACUUUUGUUUACCAAUGUUUAGGUAUGUAUGCAGUUUAAUUCCUUCCUUCUGUGUUUGGAAAUUAAGAUUGUUCUAAUAUCUCUAAAUUUCUCAAUGCAUUAAAAAUUAACUUUUAUAUA
RNA transcript from Falco peregrinus (peregrine falcon), 3935 nucleotides. It is a transcript of the gene named phospholamban, with no coding region annotated. The transcript has 3 exons. NCBI's taxonomy places the organism in Eukaryota, Metazoa, Chordata, Aves, Falconiformes, Falconidae. The record is from RefSeq and is a predicted model, not a curated record.